GACGAACGCUGGCGGCGUGCUUAACACAUGCAAGUCGAACGGAAAGGCCCUGCUUUUGUGGGGUGCUCGAGUGGCGAACGGGUGAGUAACACGUGAGUAACCUGCCCUUGACUUUGGGAUAACUUCAGGAAACUGGGGCUAAUACCGGAUAGGAGCUCCUGCUGCAUGGUGGGGGUUGGAAAGUUUCGGCGGUUGGGGAUGGACUCGCGGCUUAUCAGCUUGUUGGUGGGGUAGUGGCUUACCAAGGCUUUGACGGGUAGCCGGCCUGAGAGGGUGACCGGCCCAAAUGGGACUGAGGUACGGCCCAGACUCCUACGGGGGGCAACAGGUGGGAAUAUUGCACAAUGGGCGGAAGCCUGAUGCAGCAACGCCGCGUGCGGGAUGACGGCCUUCGGGUUGUAAACCGCUUUCGCCUGUGACGAAGCGUGAGUGACGGUAAUGGGUAAAGAAGCACCGGCUAACUACGUG
This 468-nucleotide ribosomal RNA is filed under the name uncultured bacterium. RNAcentral's name for it is "partial 16S ribosomal RNA". It matches the Rfam family "Bacterial small subunit ribosomal RNA", at positions 28 to 507 of the family's 1533-position model. The record is from RNAcentral.